CCUGCAUCAUGGACAUCCAUCCAAACACCCAGCUAAACAUCUGAAGCGGUAUCAUCUAAACCAUCACUUCAAAGUUCAAAACAAGGUGUUUGGAAUAACUUCUUCACUCUGGGACAUCAUCUUUGGCACAUUGCCACCAGCAAAAACCUCUCAUCAGAAAAACUGAUUCUUUUGGACAAUGCAAGAAUAGCUUGUAAUUUAUUGAGAUUCCCUACUGUUCUCUUUGGUGGUUCCUUUUUUUUUCCUGCAUAUCCCAAAUAAAUAAACAUUGCUCUCCAAUUCUUUCCUUGGAUACAUCACAGAUCAGUGCCCUUGAUCAUCAUGUAUUGAGGACAUUAUUUGAUGAAAGCUACCUUGUGUAUUAAACCAGUUUAUAUGGAAACAUGAGUUUUUAAUUGGUCA
Molecule: long non-coding RNA, 402 nt
Organism: Musa acuminata subsp. malaccensis (wild Malaysian banana)
Lineage: Eukaryota; Viridiplantae; Streptophyta; Magnoliopsida; Zingiberales; Musaceae
Source: RefSeq, a predicted model, not a curated record